This 370-nucleotide ribosomal RNA is filed under the name uncultured organism. RNAcentral's name for it is "bacterial SSU rRNA". It matches the Rfam family "Bacterial small subunit ribosomal RNA", at positions 526 to 896 of the family's 1533-position model. The record is from RNAcentral.
CGAGAGGCCCAAACGUUAUUCGGAAUUACUGGGCUUAAAGAGUUCGUAGGCGGCGCGGAAAGUAGGGUGUGAAAGCCCUCGGCUCAACCGAGGAAUUGCGCCCUAAACUGCCGUGCUUGAGGAACCUAGAGGUGAGCAGAACAGAUGGUGGAGCGGUGAAAUGCGUUGAUAUCAUCUGGAAUACCGGAGGCGAAGGCGGCUCACUGGGGGUUUUCUGACGCUGAGGAACGAAAGCCAGGGGAGCGAACGGGAUUAGAUACCCCGGUAGUCCUGGCCGUAAACGAUGAGCACUAGGCCGGAGGGCUGCACAGCUUUCCGGCCGUAGCUAAAGUGUUAAGUGCUCCGCCUGGGGAGUAUGGUCGCAAGGCUG